RNAcentral lists this ribosomal RNA (605 nucleotides) under Colletotrichum karsti. RNAcentral's name for it is "eukaryotic LSU rRNA". It matches the Rfam family "Eukaryotic large subunit ribosomal RNA", at positions 38 to 667 of the family's 3401-position model. Lineage: Eukaryota; Fungi; Ascomycota; Sordariomycetes; Glomerellales; Glomerellaceae. The record is from RNAcentral.
GCAUAUCAAUAAGCGGAGGAAAAGAAACCAACAGGGAUUGCCCCAGUAACGGCGAGUGAAGCGGCAACAGCUCAAAUUUGAAAUCUGGCCCCAGGCCCGAGUUGUAAUUUGCAGAGGAUGCUUUUGGCGCGGUGCCUUCCGAGUUCCCUGGAACGGGACGCCAUAGAGGGUGAGAGCCCCGUACGGUUGGACACCAAGUCUUUGUAAAGCUCCUUCGACGAGUCGAGUAGUUUGGGAAUGCUGCUCUAAAUGGGAGGUAUAUUUCUUCUAAAGCUAAAUAUUGGCCAGAGACCGAUAGCGCACAAGUAGAGUGAUCGAAAGAUGAAAAGCACUUUGAAAAGAGGGUUAAACAGCACGUGAAAUUGUUAAAGGGGAAGCGCUUAUGACCAGACUUGCGCCCGGUGAAUCACCCAGCUCUCGCGGCUGGGGCACUUUGCCGGCUCAGGCCAGCAUCAGCUCGCUGUCGGGGACAAAAGCUUCGGGAACGUAGCUCUCUUCGGGGAGUGUUAUAGCCCGUUGCACAAUACCCUUCGGCGGGCUGAGGUACGCGCUCCGCAAGGAUGCUGGCGUAAUGGUCAUCAGCGACCCGUCUUGAAACACGGACC